AAAUAAUGAUAUUAAACUUUAUGUGUCAUGGUUUCAAAAUAUUUGAAGCAUAUUUAAAUAUUUUAAUAUUAAAUAGUUAAAGGGUAAAGUGAUUAAAAAGGCACAGACUUGCUAUAAAAUAAGUCCUGGGCAUGUAAUAUAAACACCAUGUUGACUAUAGUUAACAACACUAUAUUGUAUAUUUGAAAGUUGCCAAGACAGUAGGUCUUAAAAUUUCUCAUCACAAGGGAAGAUUUUUGUUAAAAAAAUAUAUUUAAGGCAAAAAUUGACAGAAUUAUAAAGAAUUUGACUAACUCAGUUCUGGCAGGAGAUUUGCACAUGUCCUUUUUGGUAACCAAUAAAUCAAGCAGACAAAAAAAAAAUUCAAGGAUACAGAAGAUCUGAACAAUUCAAUCAACAAGCUUGAUCUAAUAGAUAUGAAUGAGACCUAACACAUAUAGGUCCAAACUAUAACAAAUAGAGAAUUAAUGACCUUGAUUUCUAAGUGUGUUAAAAUAUUUCAAAAAUGAUAGUUUUUAAGAAUAGAAUGUUUUAUAUACAAAAUAUAGCAUGACUAUAUAUGUAUAUUGAUAAAAAUCUGACACAAUGAAAACUUUAUAUGGUUUUAAUGUAUGCAAUAAAGUAUAGAAACCUAGGUGAAUUGGAUGGUGGUUGUCUCUGAGAAGAAAGGAAGUAGAAUGACUCAAAGACAGGCUCAAAGUCUGGAAUGAUUAAUUUCUUACCAAUAGUUAAAAAGAGAUCUAAAGCAAAGACAGCAAAAUAUUGUUAACAUGCUAUUAAUUCUGGGUUGUGAUUAUUUGGGAUCUGUUAUCUGUAUGUUUGAAUAUAUGAAAGUAUUUUUUAAAAAGCGAGAAAAUCUUGUGGAAGAAUUAAUUGGUAGAUAAGAACUUGCUUUUGGGAUGAUAUGUCUUGUCUUAUCUUGAUAUAUUGAUGUAAGCUUGAUAUUAUGGACUCUGAAAUACCAAGAAGAUCUUAAUAUAAGCAACAGAGUGUAGCAAUUUUUUGGAUUAUCUAAGAUCAUUCUCUAUAACUGAAACAGUUUUGGGGUAGUUUAUCCAAAGUACUGUAGAGUCUGCUUCCUUUAUCAGUAAGGCCAGGACUGAUCACUUUUAAUGUGUUGUGGUGAACCUCACAUAUCAUAGAGUUGUUGCAGGAAUUAAAGAAGUAAUAUAUGCCAGGUAUAUAAUAUAAAUCAACAACAAAAUUGUGCUGUAAACAUUAAGUAUACAAUCAGAAGAAACCAAUCUAGCAAUGCCUAAAGAGUCAAUAAGGGUGUGCUAACAUGAUCCCAGUAGUUCACAUAGCCAUGUUUUCAUUCAUGUGUGAAAGGUAACCUAAAAAGAAACUUUAAAUAUACAAGGAAUCCUACAAUAUUAUCAUCUGUGUGUUCUCUCUAAGAAACUUACCUGAACAAAAAGAGUCAUUCAUCAAUAAAAGAGCACUCUCUUUGUUUUUGUUUAAUGUUCUGUAUAUUGUGUUCACUUUUGCCCAACUUUGUUGUUACUCUGGUUGUCUCUUUUUAUUUGUAUAUUUCUGAUUUUCCUUUGCCUACCCUUUUAUAUUCAUGCUAUGAAUUACAGUGUUUUAGAUACCAUCUUGUGUAUAGUAAACAGUUGGGACUUUUACCUCCUUCCAAUUUAGGAGUCAAUUUCUUUUAAAAGGUAGUUAUCUCACUUUCAUUACUGUAUGGAUGUUUGGAGUUAAUUCUCUUGUAUUCAUGUUUAUUUAUGUAUGGUCCUGUUUUUGGCUUUCUUGUUGUGUCCUGUUUCUUCUCUGUUGAUAUAUAAUAUCUGUUUCCUUUGUACCCCAUCCCAACUCCUCCAUCAUAUCUCAGUAACUUGAAAUUGUAUACUGCAGCAUAUUUUUAGUUCUACUAGUAAUUAUCUCCCAUUAAUUCCAAUAUUCUCAUAUUAACAGCCUGAGGAAUAAAAUGAUACAUUUUGAUCUCCUCUUAUAGUUGAUGAGGAAUUAGCAAAUAUGGAGUUUUUUUCUUUUAAAAAUUUUUUUCUAUUGUUAGUGUGUCAUUAAUUUUUUGUCUUUAUAUUAUAUAGCUUUUUUUUUUUUUGUCUUUUUUUUGCUAUUUCUUUGGGCCGCUCCCACAGCAUAUGGAGGUUCCCAGGCUAGGGGUCGAAUCGGAGCUGUAGCCACCGGCCUACGCCAGAGCCACAGCAACGCAGGAUCCGAGCCACGUCUGCAACCUACACCACAGCUCACGGCAACGCUGGAUCGUUAACCCACUGAGCAAGGGCAGGGACCAAACCUGCAACCUCAUGGUUCCUAGUCGGACUCAUUAACCACUGCGCCAUGACGGGAACUCCUUAUAUAGCUUUUGUUUUAACAAUAGCAAUGGUAUUCUCAUUUGUAGAGAGCUAUAUAUUACACCAUAACUUGGGCCUGACAUAGCAGGAAGAUUAAAAAAGAGACAAAAUGAAUUUGAACAAUUAUUAAAUAUAUAUUCAUUAAUAAAAUGUAUCAUUCUUAAUGCCCUUCAAAAAAAAAAAACCCAAAUAGUUUAAAUGUUGUGAAACAUUUACAAAAAUGAUCACACAUUAGUCCACAAAUAAAACCUUAAUAAAUGCUUUAGAUUGGAAAGAAUGCAACUAUAAUCUUCUGAUCACAAUGCAAUAAAAAUUAGAAGUCCAUGACAAAAAAGUAAUAAACAAUAAAAAUUAUUUUCAGAUAUUUUAGAAAUUGAAUAAACAUUUAGAAAAGUAAACAUUUCAAACAUUGAGAAGAGUAAAUACUUUUUAAAACUUUUCCAAAAUAACUCUUAGAUGAAAUAGACAAAUGAAAUAAAUUACAAAUACAUAAAAAUUAACGAGAAUUAGAGCACUAUUUCACAAAUAUAUGAGAUUUUAGCAAAGCUGCAUUCAGAGGAAAUAUUUAUAACUUUGGAUACCUUCACUGCAUAAAAAAAUGAAUAAAAAUAAUGAACCCAAUUUGUGAAGUUAAAAAAUAGCAAAGUCUAAGAAAGCAGCAGAAAAGAGUUAAAGAUAAACGCAGAAAUAAAAACUAAGUAGGAGAAAAUAUAAAGUAAAAAAGCAUUUUUUAUAAAUAUAAGGAAGAUAAAAAAUUAAGAUUAAUAAAAUAGGCACAGAUACGGUCUAAAAAAUGGAAUAUGAUAAACAAUUACCUAGAUUAAUCAAUAUAAGAGUUUUUUUUAAAGCACCACAGUGUAGAAAAAGUAGGAAAGUAGAUGUAGAUAAAGAAGAAAUAAGAUUUAUAAAAUAUUUUUUUCAGUAGUAUAAUAAUGUUUGAAAAUAUUUAUGAAAUAUAUAAAGCUAUGGAAAAGUAAAAAUAUCGAUUGGUUGAAAAAAAGACAGAAGUGAUAAGUACAUUAAUAAAUGCAGAUGAUUAGAAACUUUUGUCUAAAACUAUACCUCAGAAAUUCAAGACUGGGAUGACUUUAUGGGUGAUUUAUUUUAAAUCUUCAAAGAAAGGAUAACUCUGAUAAUAUUUAAAUCUUUUAAAACAUUAGGGAUUGAGGAAACCUUCUGACCUGUUUUUAAAAACCAUAUUAUGAUAUUGAUACUUAAAUUGGACUUUGAUAUUGCAAAAAAAGAAAAGUAUGCCAAAUUCCAGUCUCACUUGGGAAAUGUUGAUGUGAAAAAAUAAAUCUUAAGAUAUUACCACACAGAAUGCAGUAGUAUAUUGAAAUACACACACCAUUACCAAGAUGGUUUCAUUCCAUGAAUGCAAAUCUGGCUCAAUAUUAGGACUACUACUGAAGUUCACUCUAAUAAUUGGUGAAAGUAUGAUUAAUUUGAUAGCUUCCUGCAAAGGCACUUGAUGAGAUUUAGUAUCUAUUAUUAAUAAAAUCUCUUGGUAACCUGAGAAUGGAAAGAAACUUCCUAAAUAGACUAAGGAGCAUUAGAAUCCAGCAGCAAACAUUUAAUAGUGGACUCCUAGAGAUAUUUUCUUUAAAAUCAGGGAAAAAGCAAGUUGGAACCCAGUUUACUACUAAGAAAUAGCCUACAUCCUCCAGGAAUAAAAGUCUAAGGGGAGCACUAGCAUGCUUAUCUAGGAAAGGUGCAGAGUUUUUAGGAGCUGUGAUCAAGUGAACAUUUCUGGGAUCAGUUUUUGAGAAGUAACUAGAGGAAAUCUUCCCCAGACCCUUCCAAACACUAACAAAGCUCUGUAAUCCCAAAUGAUGAAAGUUGCUGCAUUGGGUCACUCCAAAUUCCUUAGCUCACGGUAAUCACUGACUGAUAUUCCACUACCUGGAAAUCUAUUGAGGUUAACAAGCAUUUAGUCAUAUACUUAGGAGGCACAGGAGUAACUAACUUCUAAUCACUAACACUACAGUGAUGAAUAUUUCUAAAUAGGCUUUCACAUCACUGACGCAUUAAAGGAAGAUGAUGGAGCUGGUAUUUGUUGAAUGCUUAACCACAUGUCAGGCACUGUUCUAAUUAUUUUAAACAUACUAUCUCAUUUAAUCUUCACAAUAACCAUAUUACAUAUAAAGAAACAGAGGCACAGUGAUGAGAUAUAACUUACCCAGAGUCACACCACUAGUAAGUAGUGAGUAUGAGAUUCAAUAUCAAGCAACUGAUUGCCUGGGUCACUGCUCUGCUCCACUCCACUGGGCUGUCCUGGUGUUUGGAGGGCAAAUGGUCUAUGUUUGGCUUUUUGACCCUUCAAAGAAAUUGAUUUUUAAAAAUUUAGUGAGGGCUAUCUAUGUGCAAGUUACCGUCAAGUCUCUGUAGCUGAUAAACUCAUGAAUCUAACAUAUUUCUUUCCCUCAGGAAACUUAUUCUCUAGAAAAGCAGACAAUACCUGUGAAUAACCAAUUAUACUCCAAGACUGAAUAUAAGGUGCUUGGCUGUGAUUGUGGGUAGGUUAUAGCUCCUCAGAUUACAUUUUGGGAUGUGGAGGCAGAGAACCUUCUUGGGAAUACCUAUGCUCUUUAGAAUUUCCCCCUUUCUGUUUAUGGACACAAAUCUUUAGUGAUAUUAUUUGAAAUAUAUAGUGAGUUCUGUGCUCUCAGUAUUUUGAACACGUCAUAAAAAGGCAAAGAGAUGUUUUUCCCCCAGGCAUUUUAUUACUCAUGUCACCAAGGGAAAGAUUUGGGGAGAAACUUAGUAGGUAAAUGAUAAAUAAAUAUGACUAAGUAAUAUGCAACUUUAACCCUCACCCCUUUCAAAAAAUGAAAUGAAUGAUAUCAUCAUAAAAAGAAAGACACUGUAAUUUAUUGUCUAAUUUGGAUAACUCACUGGGAAAAAACUUGAUAGUUAUAGAAGGGUGAGAGAAAUCAGUCCUGCUGGAAUUGCUCUUUCAGUUGUCAGCACAUUUUAAUGAAAUGCCAGUCUUUUCAUGCCAAAUUCUGAAGGAAACCUCUGGGUACCAAUUGCUGAAAUUAUUUCACUCCCAAAUUGAGUCUAAACUAAAAUAAAACCUUUCCCAUUUUGCAGAGCACAGCACUCUACAAGUUCAAAAGGUAAGACAUACUUUCAAUAUGUAUAAAUGGUGAAACACAUUUGAAAAUAAAAUUUUUAAUUAUGUUUGACAUCUCAGGCCCAGUGCAGUUAUCCUAUAAGAAAGUAACAUCUGUUUUGACAUUUCUAGUGGUAGAAAUUUUAAGUUGGUUUCUACAUUGCUUAUCUGCUGGCUAGUCAGAAUGGAUGUGGCAUUCUUCUUAGCAACUCAUUCGCAGGGAAGAAAGAAAAGAUAUGCAGAGAAGUAUGACUGGUCUCAAACUGGUGUGUGAAUUUAAAUGAAAAUUCUAAACUCCUUUGAAUAUAUUGUAUCUAUGUUCUAACUCAGUGCAAAAUUUGAAAAUGUUCAUUUAGUUCCUAAAUAUAUGUUUUUUUUUUAUUUUUGAUAUAUGCCUUUUGCUUUGACUUAAAACUGAUAGAAUGUUAAAGCAUAUAUUACUUCUCAAGCCAUUUGGUUUGAUCUCAAAUUCAAGGUUUUAUUUGAAAAAAUUUGAUUUGCUGUUAUCAAUAAGAAGUAUUAUAAAAGUAGCUGAAAUAGUUUUUUUAUGUUGUGUUUCAAAUUGCAGUUUUCA
Molecule: long non-coding RNA, 6007 nt
Filed under: Sus scrofa (pig)
Lineage: Eukaryota; Metazoa; Chordata; Mammalia; Artiodactyla; Suidae
Description: lncRNA (ENSSSCG00000058000.1)
Source: RNAcentral